RNAcentral lists this ribosomal RNA (497 nucleotides) under uncultured bacterium. RNAcentral's name for it is "partial 16S ribosomal RNA". It matches the Rfam family "Bacterial small subunit ribosomal RNA", at positions 28 to 507 of the family's 1533-position model. The record is from RNAcentral.
GAUCAACGCUUGCGGCCUGCCUAAUACAGGCAAGUCUACCCAACACACGAGGAUCUUCCUCCUCUGACGUUACCUGCGUACGGGAGACUAACACGUGGAUAACCUACCUAUUGAACUGGGAUAACCUCUGUAAACCGGAGCUAAUACCGAAUAAUCUUGUGAACUGCAUGGCUCCAUAGUUAAAGACGCUCUUGCUCUCACUUAUACAUUGAUCCUCGCCGCAUUAGCUAAUUGGUAAGGUAACGGCUUACCAAGUCAACGAUGCGUAGUCGCCCUGAGAGGGUGAUCUGCCAAACUGGAACUGAGACACGGUCCAGACUCCUACGGGAGGCAGCAGUAGGGACUCUUCCGGAAUGGGCGAAAGCCUGACGGAGCAACGCCGCGUGAGUGAUGAAGGUCUUCGGAUCGUAAAACUCUGUUAUUAGGGAAGACCAAAUGUGUAAGUAACUAUGCACGUCUUGACGGUACCUAAUCAGAAAGCCACGGCUAGCUACGUG